GAUGAACGCUGGCGGCGUGCCUAAUACAUGCAAGUCGAGCGAACAGACGAGGAGCUUGCUCCUCUGCCGUUAGCGGCGGACGGGUGAGUAACACGUGGAUAACCUACCUAUAAGACUGGGAUAACUUCGGGAAACCGGAGCUAAUACCGGAUAAUAUAUUGAACCGCAUGGUUCAAUAGAGAAAGACGGUUUUGCUGCUACUUAUAGAUGGAUCCGCGCCGCAUUAGCUAGUUGGUAAGGUACCGGCUUACCAAGGCAACGAUGCGUAGCCGACCUGAGAGGGUGAUCGGCCACACAGGAACUGAGACACGGUCCAGACUCCGACGGGAGGCAGCAGGAGGGAAUCUUCCGCAAGGGGCGAAAGCCUGACGGAGCAACGCCGCGUGAGUGAUGAAGGUCUUCGGAUCGUAAAACUCUGUUAUUAGGGAAGAACAAAUGUGUAAGUAACUAUGCACGUCUUGACGGUACCUAAUCAGAAAGCCACGGCUAACUAC
RNAcentral lists this ribosomal RNA (494 nucleotides) under uncultured bacterium. RNAcentral describes it as "partial 16S ribosomal RNA". It matches the Rfam family "Bacterial small subunit ribosomal RNA", at positions 28 to 504 of the family's 1533-position model. The record is from RNAcentral.